GACAGAGGGUGCAAACGUUGUUCGGAAUUACUGGGCGUAAAGCGAGUGUAGGCGGUUUCCUAAGUCAGGUGUGAAAGCCCCGGGCCUCAACCCGGGAAGUGCACUUGAAACUGGGAGGCUAGAGUAUCGGAGAGGUUGGUGGAAUUCUCGGUGUAGAGGUGAAAUUCGUAGAUAUCGAGAGGAACACCGGUGGCGAAGGCGGCCAACUGGACGAAUACUGACGCUGAGACUCGAAAGCGUGGGAGAACAAGAUGAU
This 256-nucleotide ribosomal RNA is filed under the name uncultured bacterium. RNAcentral's name for it is "partial 16S ribosomal RNA". It matches the Rfam family "Bacterial small subunit ribosomal RNA", at positions 524 to 778 of the family's 1533-position model. The record is from RNAcentral.